RNAcentral lists this long non-coding RNA (226 nucleotides) under Brassica napus (rape). Its description in RNAcentral is "long non-coding RNA (BNAP_LNC022181)". The record is from RNAcentral. Lineage: Eukaryota; Viridiplantae; Streptophyta; Magnoliopsida; Brassicales; Brassicaceae.
UCUUCUUCUUCUUCUGAUCUACUGGAGACAAUGAAAUAGAGGUGACCAGUGGUGGUUAUGACGAGCGUGGCGGUGGUGGUGGUGACUCCGGUGAAGACGGAUCUAAGAAGCGAUGGUGGCGGUGACUGAGGGUUUGAGAUUCGGAGGGCUUUAGUAGAGGAGGAGAUGAGAAGGUAUCUGAGAGGUUGGCGAUGUCUUUACUUUUUUUUCAGAGAAAUAAUCAAUU